This 464-nucleotide ribosomal RNA is filed under the name uncultured bacterium. RNAcentral describes it as "partial 16S ribosomal RNA". It matches the Rfam family "Bacterial small subunit ribosomal RNA", at positions 339 to 795 of the family's 1533-position model. The record is from RNAcentral.
CUACGGGUGGCAGCAGUGAGGAAUUUUGCGCAAUGGGGGAAACCCUGACGCAGCAACGCCGCGUGAGCGAAGAAGGCCUUCGGGUCGUAAAGCUCUGUCAAGUGGGAAAAAAAUUCUUUGAUGAACAGUCAAAGGACUCGAUGGUACCACUGGAGGAAGCACCGGCUAACUCCGUGCCAGCAGCCGCGGUAAUACGGAGGGUGCAAGCGUUGUUCGGAAUUACUGGGCGUAAAGAGCGUGUAGGCGGUUUGACAGGUCAGAUGUGAAAGCCCCGGGCUCAACCCGGGAAGUGCAUUUGAAACUGUUUCACUAGAGUAUGGGAGAGGAGAUUGGAAUUCCUGGUGUAGAGGUGAAAUUCGUAGAUAUCAGGAGGAACACCCGUGGCGAAGGCGAUUCUCUGGACCAAUACUGACGCUGAGACGCGAAAGCGUGGGGAGCAAACAGGAUUAGAUACCCUGGUAGUC